GAUUAAGCCAUGCAUGUGUAAGUAUAAAUAAUUUUACUUUGAAACUGCGAAUGGCUCAUUAUAUCAGUUAUAGUUUAUUAGAAAUAUUUUACUACUUGGAUAACCGUAGUAAUUCUAGGGCUAAUACAUGARUAAAWCCUCAACUUCGGAAGAGGUGUGUUUAUUAGUAUGAAAACCAUAUAUCUUCGGAUAUAAUAGUGAGUAAUAAUAACCUUUCAUAUCGUAUGUCGUAAGAUAACGAUAGUUCUUUCAAGUUUCUGCCCUAUCAGCUUUCGAUGGUAGUAUAUGGGACUACCAUG
Molecule: ribosomal RNA, 299 nt
Filed under: Blastocystis sp. subtype 5
Lineage: Eukaryota; Bigyra; Opalinata; Blastocystidae
Description: partial small subunit ribosomal RNA
Source: RNAcentral